This 792-nucleotide ribosomal RNA is filed under the name Cellulosimicrobium sp. RNAcentral describes it as "bacterial SSU rRNA". It matches the Rfam family "Bacterial small subunit ribosomal RNA", at positions 78 to 883 of the family's 1533-position model. The record is from RNAcentral. Lineage: Bacteria; Bacillati; Actinomycetota; Actinomycetes; Micrococcales; Promicromonosporaceae.
GCUUGCUGGGUGGAUUAGUGGCGAACGGGUGAGUAACACGUGAGUAACCUGCCCCUGACUUCGGGAUAACUCCGGGAAACCGGGGCUAAUACCGGAUAUGAGCCGCUUCCGCAUGGGGGUGGUUGGAAAGUUUUUCGGUCAGGGAUGGGCUCGCGGCCUAUCAGCUUGUUGGUGGGGUGAUGGCCUACCAAGGCGACGACGGGUAGCCGGCCUGAGAGGGCGACCGGCCACACUGGGACUGAGACACGGCCCAGACUCCUACGGGAGGCAGCAGUGGGGAAUAUUGCACAAUGGGCGCAAGCCUGAUGCAGCGACGCCGCGUGAGGGAUGACGGCCUUCGGGUUGUAAACCUCUUUCAGCAGGGAAGAAGCGCAAGUGACGGUACCUGCAGAAGAAGCGCCGGCUAACUACGUGCCAGCAGCCGCGGUAAUACGUAGGGCGCAAGCGUUGUCCGGAAUUAUUGGGCGUAAAGAGCUCGUAGGCGGUCUGUCGCGUCUGGUGUGAAAACUCGAGGCUCAACCUCGAGCUUGCAUCGGGUACGGGCAGACUAGAGUGCGGUAGGGGAGACUGGAAUUCCUGGUGUAGCGGUGGAAUGCGCAGAUAUCAGGAGGAACACCGAUGGCGAAGGCAGGUCUCUGGGCCGCAACUGACGCUGAGGAGCGAAAGCAUGGGGAGCGAACAGGAUUAGAUACCCUGGUAGUCCAUGCCGUAAACGUUGGGCACUAGGUGUGGGGCUCAUUCCACGAGUUCCGUGCCGCAGCAAACGCAUUAAGUGCCCCGCCUGGGGAGUAC